Molecule: ribosomal RNA, 496 nt
Filed under: uncultured bacterium
Lineage: Bacteria
Description: partial 16S ribosomal RNA
Rfam family: Bacterial small subunit ribosomal RNA
Source: RNAcentral
GAUGAACGCUGGCGGCGUGCCUAAUACAUGCAAGUCGAGCGAACAGACGAGGAGCUUGCUCCUCUGACGUUAGCGGCGGACGGGUGAGUAACACGUGGAUAACCUACCUAUAAGACUGGGAUAACUUCGGGAAACCGGAGCUAAUACCGGAUAAUAUAUUGAACCGCAUGGUUCAAUAGUGAAAGACGGUUUUGCUGUCACUUAUAGAUGGAUCCGCGCCGCAUUAGCUAGUUGGUAAGGUAACGGCUUACCAAGGCAACGAUGCGUAGCCGACCUGAGAGGGGGAUCGGCCACAUUGGAACUAAGAACCGGUCCAGACCCCUAGGGGAGGAAGCAGUGGGGAAUCUUCCGCAAUGGCGAAAGCCUGACGGAGCAACGCCGCGUGAGUGAUGAAGGUCUUCGGAUCGUAAAACUCUGUUAUUAGGGAAGAACAAAUGUGUAAGUAACUAUGCACGUCUUGACGGUACCUAAUCAGAAAGCCACGGCUAACUACGUG